UACAGAGGGGGCAAGCGUUAUUCGGAAUUAUUGGGCGUAAAGGGCGCGUAGGCGGCUUUGCAAGUGACGGGUGAAAUCCCACGGCUCAACCAUGGAAGUGCUUUCGAAACUGCUGAGCUUGAGUACGAAAGAGGAUCGCGGAAUUCCCGGUGUAGAGGUGAAAUUCGUAGAUAUCGGGAGGAACACCAGUGGCGAAGGCGGCGAUCUGGACAGAUAUUGACGCUGAGGUGCGAAAGCGUGGGGAGCAAACAGG
Molecule: ribosomal RNA, 253 nt
Filed under: uncultured bacterium
Lineage: Bacteria
Description: partial 16S ribosomal RNA
Rfam family: Bacterial small subunit ribosomal RNA
Source: RNAcentral